RNAcentral lists this transfer RNA (75 nucleotides) under Candidatus Pandoraea novymonadis. RNAcentral's name for it is "tRNA-Thr". It matches the Rfam family "tRNA". Rfam says of the family: Transfer RNA (tRNA) molecules are approximately 80 nucleotides in length. The record is from RNAcentral. Lineage: Bacteria; Pseudomonadati; Pseudomonadota; Betaproteobacteria; Burkholderiales; Burkholderiaceae.
GCCCAUGUGGCUCAGUGGUAGAGCACUCCCUUGGUAAGGGAGAGGUCGGCAGUUCGAUCCUGCCUAUGGGCACCA